RNAcentral lists this ribosomal RNA (309 nucleotides) under uncultured bacterium. RNAcentral describes it as "partial 16S ribosomal RNA". It matches the Rfam family "Bacterial small subunit ribosomal RNA", at positions 504 to 807 of the family's 1533-position model. The record is from RNAcentral.
AGAGACAGCAGCAGCCGCGGGAAUACCGAGGGUGCGAGCGUUAAUCGGAUUUACUGGGCGUAAAGCGUGCGUAGGCGGCUUUUUAAGUCGGAUGUGAAAUCCCUGAGCUUAACUUAGGAAUUGCAUUCGAUACUGGGAAGCUAGAGUAUGGGAGAGGAUGGUAGAAUUCCAGGUGUAGCGGUGAAAUGCGUAGAGAUCUGGAGGAAUACCGAUGGCGAAGGCAGCCAUCUGGCCUAAUACUGACGCUGAGGUACGAAAGCAUGGGGAGCAAACAGGAUUAGAUACCCCCGUAGUCCCUGUCUCUUAUAC